RNAcentral lists this transfer RNA (66 nucleotides) under Fundulopanchax scheeli. RNAcentral describes it as "tRNA-Tyr". It matches the Rfam family "tRNA". Rfam says of the family: Transfer RNA (tRNA) molecules are approximately 80 nucleotides in length. Their secondary structure includes four short double-helical elements and three loops (D, anti-codon, and T loops). Further hydrogen bonds mediate the characteristic L-shaped molecular structure. tRNAs have two regions of fundamental functional importance: the anti-codon, which is responsible for specific mRNA codon recognition, and the 3' end, to which the tRNAs corresponding amino acid is attached (by aminoacyl-tRNA synthetases). tRNAs cope with the degeneracy of the genetic code in two manners: having more than one tRNA (with a specific anti-codon) for a particular amino acid; and 'wobble' base-pairing, i.e. permitting non-standard base-pairing at the 3rd anti-codon position. The record is from RNAcentral. Lineage: Eukaryota; Metazoa; Chordata; Actinopteri; Cyprinodontiformes; Nothobranchiidae.
GGUAGGAUGACUGAAAAAGUGGUGGACUGUAGAUCCAUGAAUAGAGGUUUAAGCCCUCUUCUUAUC